GGCAUCCGUACAGGACCAGGCAUGGCGUCGCAGUUCAACAACGGGGCGCCCCACCGCUACCCACAUGCAAGUAAGAACAUAGGGAUAUGCCUUACAAUGAGUCAGACCAUCAGUAAUGUCUACACUGGCUGUCAAUGGCUUUCCAGGAGUUCAGGCAGAGGAUAUUCCCAGCCCUACAUGGAGAUGCCAGGGAUCUUCUGAAGUACAAAUACCUGCUGGAAGUGUAAAGAGAAAGAAGGAAUUGUAGGUACCGAUAUCCCAGAGCAGCAGAAAAGACUUUUUAUGUAUGCAACUACAGCUGCACUGAUGCUACUAGCCCAGAGAAGG
Molecule: long non-coding RNA, 327 nt
Organism: Podarcis raffonei (Aeolian wall lizard)
Lineage: Eukaryota; Metazoa; Chordata; Lepidosauria; Squamata; Lacertidae
Exons: 3
Source: RefSeq, a predicted model, not a curated record